UGGGGAAUAUUGCACAAUGGGCGCAAGCCUGAUGCAGCCAUGCCGCGUGUGUGAAGAAGGCCUUCGGGUUGUAAAGCACUUUCAGCGAGGAGGAAGGUGGUGGACUUAAUACGUUCAUCAAUUGACGUUACUCGCAGAAGAAGCACCGGCUAACUCCGUGCCAGCAGCCGCGGUAAUACGGAGGGUGCAAGCGUUAAUCGGAAUUACUGGGCGUAAAGCGCACGCAGGCGGUUUGUUAAGUCAGAUGUGAAAUCCCCGGGCUCAACCUGGGAACUGCAUUUGAAACUGCAAGCUAGAGUCUCGUAGAGGGGGGUAGAAUUCCAGGUGUAGCGGUGAAAUGCGUAGAGAUCUGGAGGAAUACCGGUGGCGAAGGCGGCCCCCCUGGACGAAGACUGACGCUCAGGUGCGAAAAGCGUGGGGAGCAAAACAGGAUUAGAUACCCUGGUAGUCCACGCUGUAAAACGAUGUCGAUUUGGAGGUUGUGCCCUUGAGGCGUGGCUUCCGGAGCUAACGCGUUAAAUCGACCGCCUGGGGAGUACGGCCGCAAGGUU
This 551-nucleotide ribosomal RNA is filed under the name uncultured bacterium. RNAcentral describes it as "partial 16S ribosomal RNA". It matches the Rfam family "Bacterial small subunit ribosomal RNA", at positions 355 to 895 of the family's 1533-position model. The record is from RNAcentral.